RNAcentral lists this ribosomal RNA (253 nucleotides) under uncultured bacterium. RNAcentral describes it as "partial 16S ribosomal RNA". It matches the Rfam family "Bacterial small subunit ribosomal RNA", at positions 524 to 776 of the family's 1533-position model. The record is from RNAcentral.
UACGUAGGGGGCUAGCGUUGUCCGGAAUCACUGGGCGUAAAGGGCGCGUAGGCGGCCAUUCAAGUCGGAGGUGAAAGCCCAGGGCUCAACCCUGGAAUUGCCUUCGAUACUGUCUGGCUAGAGACCGGAAGAGGUAAGUGGAACUGCGAGUGUAGAGGUGAAAUUCGUAGAUAUUCGCAAGAACACCAGUGGCGAAGGCGGCUUACUGGUCCGGUUCUGACGCUGAGGCGCGAAAGCGUGGGGAGCAAACAGG